RNAcentral lists this ribosomal RNA (404 nucleotides) under Lumbricus rubellus (humus earthworm). RNAcentral describes it as "partial 12S ribosomal RNA". It matches the Rfam family "Bacterial small subunit ribosomal RNA", at positions 875 to 1487 of the family's 1533-position model. The record is from RNAcentral. Lineage: Eukaryota; Metazoa; Annelida; Clitellata; Crassiclitellata; Lumbricidae.
GAUACCCGUCUAUUUAUGGAGUAAACAAAGUCGAAUAAUACGAACCACAGUUUAAAACUUAAAGAUUUUGGCGGUGUCUUAUCAACCCAGGGGAACCUGUCUCAUAACUCGAUAACCCACGAAUUCCUCACCCUCUCUAGAUUCUAACAGCCUGUGUACUGCCGUCGUAAGCACACCCCUAAAAGAAAGAAGUGUGCAGACAUGAUUAAACUCAUAUACGUCAGGUCAAAGUGCAGCCCAUGGGAGGGAGAUGAUGGGUUACACCCUAAACAAAGAUACGGAAUAUAGUACUAAAAGCUAUAUAAAGGAGGACUUGGUUGUAACGUUUCUUCAAAACUAAAGUGAAUGUGAAUCUAAGACAUGCACACAUCGCCCGUCACUCUCGCCUAAAGGCGAGAUAAGUC